UACGUAGGGUGCAAGCGUUAAUCGGAAUUACUGGGCGUAAAGCGUGCGCAGGCGGUUUUGUAAGACUGUCGUGAAAUCCCCGGGCUCAACCUGGGAAUGGCGAUGGUGACUGCAAGGCUAGAGUUUGGCAGAGGGGGAUGGAAUUCCGCGUGUAGCAGUGAAAUGCGUAGAUAUGCGGAGGAACACCGAUGGCGAAGGCAAUCCCCUGGGCCUGCACUGACGCUCAUGCACGAAAGCGUGGGGAGCAAACAGG
Molecule: ribosomal RNA, 253 nt
Filed under: uncultured bacterium
Lineage: Bacteria
Description: partial 16S ribosomal RNA
Rfam family: Bacterial small subunit ribosomal RNA
Source: RNAcentral